GUGGGAAUUGAGGGGAAGUAGGGAUUGGGUCUGGACAGUGUAUGGUAACUGCUCACUGUUUCUUUUCAGGCUGAAGAUGGAAACAUUGAAUAUAAAUUGAAGCUGGUGAAUCCAUCCCAGUACCGCUUUGAGCACCUGGUGACACAAAUGAAGUGGCGGCUCCAGGAGGGACGUGGUGAGGCCGUCUACCAGAUUGGGGUAGAGGACAAUGGGCUGCUGGUGGGGCUGGCUGAGGAGGAAAUGCGAGCUUCGCUCAAGACCCUGCAUCGGAUGGCAGAGAAGGUUGGGGCAGACAUCACUGUUCUUCGAGAGCGAGAAGUGGAUUAUGAUAGCGACAUGCCCCGGAAGAUCACCGAGGUGCUAGUACGAAAGGUCCCUGACAACCAACAGUUCCUAGACCUCCGUGUGGCUGUCCUGGGGAAUGUGGACUCAGGGAAGUCAACUCUGCUUGGAGUCCUGACCCAGGGAGAGCUGGACAAUGGGCGGGGCCGGGCUCGGCUCAACCUUUUCCGUCACCUGCAUGAGAUUCAGUCUGGCCGAACCUCCAGCAUCAGCUUCGAGAUCCUGGGCUUUAACAGCAAGGGAGAGGUGGUGAAUUACAGCGACUCACGGACAGCAGAAGAGAUCUGUGAGAGCAGCUCCAAGAUGAUCACCUUCAUCGACCUGGCAGGCCACCAUAAGUACCUACACACCACCAUCUUUGGCCUAACAUCAUACUGCCCCGACUGCGCCCUGCUCCUCGUCAGUGCCAACACUGGGAUUGCUGGCACCACAAGGGAACAUCUAGGGCUGGCCCUGGCCCUGAAAGUGCCCUUCUUCGUCGUGGUCAGCAAGAUCGACCUGUGUGCCAAGACCACAGUGGAGAGGACAGUACGCCAGCUGGAGCGGGUCCUCAAGCAGCCUGGCUGCCAUAAGGUCCCCAUGCUGGUCACCUCUGAGGAUGAUGCCGUCACUGCUGCCCAGCAGUUUGCUCAGUCACCCAAUGUCACCCCCAUCUUCACAUUGUCCAGUGUGUCUGGAGAGAGUCUGGACCUCCUCAAAGUCUUUCUGAAUAUUCUGCCGCCACUCACCAACAGCAAAGAGCAGGAGGAGCUCAUGCAGCAGCUGACGGAGUUCCAGGUAGAUGAAAUCUACACAGUACCAGAGGUGGGGACUGUUGUUGGAGGAACACUUUCCAGUGGGAUUUGCCGUGAGGGGGACCAGCUGGUGGUGGGCCCCACGGAUGAUGGCUGCUUCCUGGAGCUGAGAGUAUGCAGCAUCCAGCGCAACCGCUCUGCCUGUCGUGUGCUGCGAGCUGGUCAGGCUGCUACAUUGGCGCUUGGGGACUUUGACCGUGCACUGCUUCGAAAGGGCAUGGUGAUGGUGAGCCCGGAGAUGAAUCCUACCAUCUGCUCGGUGUUUGAGGCAGAGAUAGUCUUACUGUUCCAUGCCACCACCUUCCGACGAGGAUUCCAGGUGACAGUACAUGUGGGCAAUGUACGUCAGACGGCAGUGGUGGAAAAGAUCCAUGCCAAGGACAAACUGCGGACAGGCGAGAAGGCAGUGGUACGUUUCCGCUUCCUGAAACACCCAGAGUACCUGAAGGUGGGCGCCAAACUGCUGUUCCGGGAGGGUGUCACCAAGGGCAUCGGCCAUGUCACUGAUGUACAAGCCAUUACAGCAGGAGAAGCCCAGGCCAACAUGGGCUUCUGAAUCCUUCAGGCAGGGACAGUUCUAUUGCUGUCCCUACAAUAUAUAAGGUGACUUCCGGCCCUGCUGCCCCGCCAUUGGCGGCUCUGUGUGUUAAUAGGCUAGGGAGAGAGGGGUGCUGUUUGCCACUUGCUCCCUGCCAACUUUCUGGAGAGGUGCCAAACUUGGUGUGGCCAGGAAAGGGCCAUCCUGAGGGAGAAGACAGGAUUCAGGGCAGUGCUCAGAAGCUGUGUGCUCACCUGGUUGGCUCAUCAAACCUGGCAACCCUGUGGCCUGUCUGCUGGAGCUGACUGGAUCCACUUAUCAAUUCCUCGGCCCCACUACUAAGACUGGGCAUGUUUUGCUGGUGUGGUCUCUGCACUUCAGGAAUUGUCACAACAGGGGGUAGCCCUCAAAAGCCCUCCUUUUUCUAUACCUCUUCUCAAGGCCAUGUAAGUUGCCCAUCUCUACCUGGCUGUGGACAAAAGGUUAUCUGCUCUUGGCCAUCUGGUGGUGGUGGCGGCUCAGAGUCUGAAGAAAUGGCACAGGGACAGUGAAUGGUAGUGUUCCCACCCUGUGCAGAGGCCUUAGGCCUCUUCCACAGCUUUAUCUCCCUUUCCUUCACUCAAGGGCCAUUUCCCCAGUCCCUAUCUAUCUCCCCCACCCCCUCCCGGCUUAUAGGCCCCACAGGUGCUAUUUGUUGUGCUGGCCCAGGCGUGGGGCUACCAAGCAAAGGCUUGGCAUAUACCAAAGGCCAGCUGCAUGCCCAUCAGUCUGGUCUUUUUCCUCUGCGGUCAUGUUGGCUUUUAUGCUGGAUCAAAUGUUUUACUUUCCCAGACUGGUGGCAUCUGAGUUCCCCAUCCUACCACUCUCACCCCACUUUCCUGCCCCACCUAAACCCUCUUGUUUUAGUAAUUUGUAGUGACUGUUCCCUUCCCUCUGUUGCAGGGAACCAGGAGGAAAGGGAAAGAUGUUGCCAUAUUUCCUACUCUUAAGGCAUGGACUCUCCUUUCCCUUUGUUAGUGUCCUGGGUUCCCAUGGACUCAGGGAUUUGUUGGCUGAGGUUUCUCUGCGCAUAUAUAUAUUUAUACAUAUGUAUAUAUAUUUAAAUACACGUAUAUAUUGUACAGAAUAAAAAUGUUUUAUUGAAUACA
RNAcentral lists this small RNA (2822 nucleotides) under Pongo abelii (Sumatran orangutan). RNAcentral describes it as "processed transcript". Lineage: Eukaryota; Metazoa; Chordata; Mammalia; Primates; Hominidae. The record is from RNAcentral.